GGGUAAGUAGUGGCUAGUGGACGGGGUAAUGCGUGGGGCGGGAGGUGUGUCCGGAAGUGUGGUGCGUAAAGUGCGCGGAGGGGGCGGGUCAGUGGUAGGGUGAAAGGUCGAGGCUGAACCGCGGGGCUUCAGUCGAGACGGGCUAGGUAGAGUGUGGUAGGGGAGAUCGUAAUGCCUGGGGUAGCGGUGAAAUGCGCAGAUAUCAGGAGGAACACCGGUGGCGAAGGCGGAUCUCUGGGCCAUUACUGACGCUGAGGAGCGAAAGCGUGGGGAGCGAACAGGAUUAGAUACCCAGUAGUC
RNAcentral lists this ribosomal RNA (300 nucleotides) under uncultured Methanomassiliicoccus sp. Its description in RNAcentral is "bacterial SSU rRNA". The stretch from base 64 to 300 matches the Rfam family "Bacterial small subunit ribosomal RNA", at positions 558 to 795 of the family's 1533-position model. Lineage: Archaea; Methanobacteriati; Thermoplasmatota; Thermoplasmata; Methanomassiliicoccales; Methanomassiliicoccaceae. The record is from RNAcentral.